CAUGUCCCUGUGUCCCUGUGUCCCCGUGUCCCUCUGUCCCCGUGUCCCUCUGUCCCCAUGUCCCCCGUCCCCGUGUCCCUAUAUCACCAUGUCCCCAUGUCCCUCCGUCCCCAUGUCCCCGUGUCCCCAUGUCCCCGUGUCCCUGUGUCCCCAUGUCCCUGUGUCCCCAUGUCCCUGUGUCCCUCUGUCCCCAUGUCCCCGUGUCCCUAUGUCCCCGUGUCCCUAUAUCACCAUGUCGCUAUGUCCCUGUGUCCCCACAUUCUCGUGUCUCCAUAUUCUCGUGUCCCCGUGUCCCUCUGUCCCCCUGUCCCCAUGUCCCUGUGUCCCCAUGUCCCCCUGUCCCCAUGUCCCUAUAUCACCAUGUCCCACGUCCCUGUGUCCCUAUAUUCUUGUGUCCCCAUAUUCUCAUGUCCCCGUGUCCCCAUGUCCCUCUGUCCCCGUGUCCCUCCGUCCCCAUGUCCCUGUGUCCCCGUGUCCCCAUGUCCCUGUGUCCCCGUGUCCCCAUGUCCCCGUGUCCCUAUAUCACCAUGUCACUAUGUCCCUGUGUCCCCAUGUCCCUGUGUCCUUCUGUCCCCAUGUCCCCAUGUCCCCAUGUCCCUGGGUGGCAUUGCUCUGUCCCCAAGUCCCCCAUCUGCUCCUGGUCCACGAGGAGCUCAUGUCCCCAUGUCCUUGUGUCCCCAUGUCCCCGUGUCCCCAUGUAACCUGGUGGCACUGCUCUGUCCCCAAGUCCCCCAUCUGCUCCUGGUCAACAUGGAGCUCAUGUCCCCAUGUCCCUGUGUCCCCAUGUCACCAAGUCCCCCAGCAGCUCCUGGUCAACAAGGAGCUCGUGUCCCCAUGUCACCCUGGUGUCCCCUGGGGGGGUGGCCCUGGAUCCUGGAUCCUAGGUGCUGGGCGCUGGGCACUGGGUGCUGGGUGCUGGGUGCUGGGUGCUGGGCGCUGGGUGCUGGGUGCUGGGUGCUGGGUGCUGGGCGCUGGGUGCUGGGCGCUGGGCGCUGGGCGCUGGGCGCUGGGUGCUGGGUGCUGGGCGCUGGGCGCUGGGCGCUGGGUGCUGGGUGCUGGGUGCAUCUCGGUGACGCCCGUCCCCGCUGCCGUUGCAGGAAUCCUUCUCCGAGCACCUGGGCUUCACGGGCGGCAUCGUGCAGGGGUGAGUGCUCUGCGGGGCGCUGCCCUCAGCAGCGGCUGCCCCUUCCCUUCCCUUCCCUUCCCUUCCCUUCCCUUCCCUUCCCUUCCCUUCCCUU
This 1238-nucleotide long non-coding RNA is filed under the name Numida meleagris (helmeted guineafowl). RNAcentral describes it as "lncRNA (ENSNMEG00000006314.1)". Lineage: Eukaryota; Metazoa; Chordata; Aves; Galliformes; Numididae. The record is from RNAcentral.